AUUGUACCCAGGCAUCAUCUAAAAAUAUUGCUGUGAGUUAUUAACUUGGAUUGGAUGCAUUUCUCAAGCUUUUUAUUUUUAAUUUUUAAAAAAUUUAUCUAUUUAUUUAUUCAUUUAUUUUUGGCUGUGUUGGGUCUUCGUUGCUGCACGCAGGCUUUCUCUAGUUGUGGCACAAACAUUACUCUCCGCCCAGGAAUUUGUGACUCCUCAAGCAGAAGUCUUUUUCCAUGUGAGGGAGGGAGACUCCAGGAGCAGAGGUCAGUCAGCUAAAACACCUUUGCAGCCAAUGACUGUGCCCUUUGAUUCGUCAGAAAAUUCUCUUUGGAGGUUCAGAGGGCUGUGCUCCUCCUGCUAAGAUAACGUUCAUUGCAUUAAUGUCAUGGGUUUUCCCUUUCAGAAGUAAAGAGACAGCAGAGGAGAAUACACAGACAGAAAGGAGGAGAAGGCCAUGUGAAGACAGAGGCAGAGACUGGAGUUAUGGAGCCACAAGCCAUGGAAUGCCUGGAGCCACCAGAAACUGGAAGAGGCAAGAAUUCUCCCCCAGAGCCAUUAGAGGGAGCACAGUCCUGCCUACACCUUGAUUUCAGACUUCCAGCCUCUAAAACUGUGAAAGAAUAAAUUUUUGUUGUUUUGAGCAACCCAGUUUGU
Kogia breviceps (pygmy sperm whale) is the source of this 648-nucleotide long non-coding RNA. RefSeq lists it as uncharacterized. NCBI's taxonomy places the organism in Eukaryota, Metazoa, Chordata, Mammalia, Artiodactyla, Physeteridae. The record is from RefSeq and is a predicted model, not a curated record.